UGAGGAAUAUUGGGCAAUGCCCGCAAGGGUGACCCAGCAACGCCGCGUGGAGGAUGAAUGUCGUAAGAUUGUAAACUCCUGUUAGAGGGGAAGAAUAGUACCGGUUGGACCGGUAUAUGACUGUACCCUCAGAGAAAGCCCCGGCUAACUACGUGCCAGCAGCCGCGGUAAUACGUAGGGGGCAAGCGUUGUCCGGAUUUACUGGGUGUAAAGGGCGCGCAGGCGGGAUAAAAAGUCAGUAGUGAAAUCCUACAGCUUAACUGUAGAACUGCCUUUGAUACUUUUAUUCUUGAGUUCGGGAGAGAGAGACGGAAUUCCAGGUGUAGUGGUGAAAUACGUAGAUAUCUGGAAGAACACCAGUUGCGAAGGCGGUCUCUUGGUCCGACACUGACGCUGAGGCGCGAAAGCGUGGGGAGCAAACA
Molecule: ribosomal RNA, 422 nt
Filed under: uncultured bacterium
Lineage: Bacteria
Description: bacterial SSU rRNA
Rfam family: Bacterial small subunit ribosomal RNA
Source: RNAcentral